AAAUAAACAGUAGUUAGACCUCAACAUUCUAAACAUUUCUGACCUUGUCAGAUUUCUCGAUAUAUAUAUGUUUAUAAAAAAAACCCACAAAACUGGCAUUUAAUCCCUAUGCUAUAUUUUUAGCCAUAGUGGCCAGGUUGGUUGGAAAGAGUUAUAGUCGAAAACAUCUUUAAAAAAUAAAUAAUUCAAAUUAUUACCAAAAUUGGUUACGGGCGACAGACGACGACGACGACGACGACGACGACGACGAACGACGGGUACCAAAGGAUGAGAGCAAGUUGAGCUAACAUUAUGAACAGUAAUAAAUUAACUAGCAUGACAAUAACCACUUCAAUAACACUUACGAUCCGCAAUUCUGCUCGCACCAUACACUGAUGACAUAUUAACCAAUACCAAACAGCAACAGAACAGAGUUGACAACAUCUAAAAAUACAAAAUGCAAUUGAUUUUAUUUUCUUAUUUUCAUCUAAUAUCAUGCUAUGAUUUAUACAUUUUCCAUAUGUGAUUAAAACAGAACCUAUGUCUAAUACACGGAAUGAAUAGUAGACAUUGCUCAUUGUGUUUAUAUAUACAUUUAUAAUUGAAGUAGAUCAAAGUGAAUACUGUUAAUACACGGUC
Molecule: long non-coding RNA, 618 nt
Filed under: Mytilus galloprovincialis (Mediterranean mussel)
Lineage: Eukaryota; Metazoa; Mollusca; Bivalvia; Mytilida; Mytilidae
Source: RNAcentral